RNAcentral lists this ribosomal RNA (301 nucleotides) under uncultured bacterium. RNAcentral describes it as "partial 16S ribosomal RNA". It matches the Rfam family "Bacterial small subunit ribosomal RNA", at positions 509 to 807 of the family's 1533-position model. The record is from RNAcentral.
CAGUCGCCACGGUAAAACGGAGGGUGCAAGCGUUAAUCGGAAUUACUGGGCGUAAAGCGCACGCAGGCGGUCUGUCAAGUCAGAUGUGAAAUCCCCGGGCUUAACCUGGGAACUGCAUUUGAAACUGGCAGGCUAGAGUCUUGUAGAGGGGGGUAGAAUUCCAGGUGUAGCGGUGAAAUGCGUAGAGAUCUGGAGGAAUACCGGUGGCGAAGGCGGCCCCCUGGACAAAGACUGACGCUCAGGUGCGAAAGCGUGGGGAGCAAACAGGAUUAGAUACCCCAGUAGUCCCUGUCUCUUAUAC